GUGAACGAGACAGGCUGCCUUCAGGCUUAUCUGCUAGAGGCAAGGGAGGGUGGAGAGGCAGGGAAGGUGGGGGUGGUGGCAGAGGCGUUUGACGAAGCCAGGGGAGAGGGAAGGAGUUGCUCACAGGCGUUUCUCUCCUGCUGGGGGCACACUUUUUUCCCUGCCAGGCCCAUAGUGCAUAACUUUUGGCCUGUCGGCAAGUGGCAGGUUCUUCUUCGUGGCCUCUGUGAAUGCAAACAGUUGGGUGGUUCUGCGCCUGCACCGGACAGCCCAAUUGGGUGCAUUCACAGGGGACCACUGGAAGAGCCAUGGUUACAGGAGAGGUGGUUUGUCACCGAAAACAAUGUGGCCAAAUUUCUGGGUCACCUCCCACGACUACCCAGCUCUGGCCAACCUGAGAUGGAGCAGUGCCCGUUGAUUGAAGUGCUGGAUGUCUCUGAAGGCAAAAGUCAGAUCAGAUUAAAGGUAAAGGCGUGUUUUACACAUUUGUAUCAUCAUCACUCAACCACAGUGCAGCGGUGUCGCCCAUCUCCUGUCCUGUUGCCUGCGGUUCGUGUGGGGGGGGUGUUCUUGCAUGAUUGGUCUCCUUGAUGUAGGGGCGCCAGCCUACAUCUGGCUUCCUGGAGCUUGAGCCCCUUAUUACGUGUCCUGUACUCUGGGACGACUGAGAACAAAUCCUGCCCCUCCUCUGUAGGACUACCUUUAAAGUAUCUGGAAAGUGCUAUCCUGUCUCUCCUCCAUCAUCUUUUCUCAAGGCUAAAUCUGCCCAGUUCCUUCAGUCUUUCCUCCUAGGACUUGAUUUCCAGUUCCCUGGAUCAUCCUUGCUGCUCUCCCCUGAACUUGCUCCAAUCUGUCAGCCUCCUUCCUGAAGUGCAGCGUCCUGAACUGGGCACAGGGCUCUAGAUAAGGUCUAACCCUUGCUGAACAGAUGGGAACUAGUACUUCACGGGAUUUGGAGACUCUGCUUCUGUUAAUGCAUCCUGAACUAGCAUUAUCCCUUUUUGCAGCCCCAUCACACUGUGGGCUCAUGUUCCGUUUGUGAUGUACAACCGUUCCAAUAUCUUUCUGAGUUGUAGUAUUCCUCAGCUGAGUAUCCUCCAUCUUAUAACUGUGCAUUUGGUUUUUUCCCCUCCAGACAUCUUGUAACUGUACAUUUGGUUUGUUCCCCUCCAGACGGAGAAGAUGGCCCCUCACUGUCACCUCUCCUACUUUUUUAUUGCUCUGUUAGUGAGGUGCUUGCUUUCUCUCCCCUGCCUCUUGCCCUAGAGCAGAUUACCACCAUGCAGGUGGAAAUCUGCUGUUGGCCCAGAGCCGGGUUUUCCAGGGAGUUCCAGACAAGGGCCGUGGGGGUAGAGCCCUCUUCUCUCCCUUUGCCAGGCAGCAAUCUGUUCUGUGAGCAGUGGGACCUUUGAGAAAUAUGUGUCAGGAGGCAUCCCGUGCCCUCUUCUGCACGUGGAAGCCCCGCAGCGCGUGCACACCCUCCCCCCCGCUUUGUGAUCCCUGCUUUCACAAUGGAGAGGAAGUAUGUGGACACAAGCUGAGCGGCUGUUAAACCGGAUUCUGGUCCUUGAGUUCAAAACUACAGAGGAGU
RNAcentral lists this long non-coding RNA (1591 nucleotides) under Pogona vitticeps (central bearded dragon). Its description in RNAcentral is "lncRNA (ENSPVIG00000006192.1)". Lineage: Eukaryota; Metazoa; Chordata; Lepidosauria; Squamata; Agamidae. The record is from RNAcentral.